AUUAGCAUGUUUGGGAUCCACUACUGGAUGGUUAACAGCAGCUUUUGUAACUGUACGCCGACCAUAUCCAAUUAUGCUCUGCUAAAAAUGAACUCUUUGCAGACCAACCCUCUCGGCUGUCAGUGUUUUCCGUUUUCCUAUUUUAACGUUUGUGUAUAGUGGCAGGCGACAGAUGGUGUAGAUCAGAUCGAUUUGAUUGCAUUAGAUGAUUUUUUCCCUUCCCCACUCCUUUCUGGAAGCUCGCAUCAGCUGAAGGCUAUCGCCUGGGACUCCUCGGAAGCAUGAGCAAGCCGCCACCACGCGAAGGCACUGGGGCACAGCCAGCGCGAGGCGCCGAGGUCCCUUCCCAGGGCUUGUUAACACUGUAACCCGGCACUCGGAGAGAAGAAGCAGCUCCCACUGCCCAGAGCCUACCUCACUGCACAUCAGAUGACUCCCUGGCUUCUACACACAGUUGGAGUUCCGCUUGAAACCUGGAUUUAGAGGGGUUCUCUGGCUGCCAUGGCACUCAAUCAAACCACCUAGAGUGGACUGGCCGAGACCAGACUGGGUACCAAGCAGAGAAGUGCAGAGGAAAGCACUGGGAGAGCACCAGAAUUGGAAAUAGAGCGGCCAUUUGGAUUUGGGCAGGAAGCAGCCGAGCACAGCUUUGGAUCCUUCUUUAGGGAAAUCGAGUUAUGGAUUUAUGGUCCCGGUCAAGCUCAGCCCAUCCCCAGGCAGGGGCGGGCUCAGCGAGCAGCAAGAGUUCUGGUGGCGGCGGCGGCGGCAGUAGCAGCGGCAGCGGUAGCAGCGGCAGCGGCAGCUUGGUCCUCUGACUCUCUUCGGUGACGGGUAUUCUUGGGUGGAUAAUACGGAUUACGUUGUUAUUGCUUAAGAAUACGCGUAGUCGAGGAGAGUACCAGCGGCAGGGGGGCAGCGGCCGCCCUCCCCAGCCCACCAGCUGGCCACUAAACGCCCGUGGUUGCCAAGGCAUCCAAAGCCUCUGGGAUGUGUUCUGACUGUAAAAACUCUGAUGUUGUGAAAAAAGCUUACGUUUUGCCUCCACUCAAACCAGUUGGUGUUUCGCUCUUAUUGCCCAGGCUGGAGUGCAAUGACGUGAUCUUGGCUCACCACAGCCUCUGCAUCCAGGAUUCAAGCUAUUCCCCUGCCUCAGCCUCCCAAAAUGCUGGGAUUAUAGGCGUGAGCCACCACUCCUGGCCAGCACUCCCAAUUUUUAAAAAUGCAUGAUUGACAAAAAUCUUAGAAAGCCGUUUUCUGUAGAUUUGAAAGCAAUGCUAUUUACAUUGUUACUACUUUCUUGUUAAAUCUUGCAUGUCUGCAGUAUGUGUUGUAAUAGAAACCUAAGAUUAUGAUCUGCUGUAUUCAUAUUUUAAAAAGAAAAUUUCAGACUGUAUAAUCAACUAGUUGAUGAUUCAUAUUUGCUUGUACAAAGUUAAAAGUGUAACUUGCCAGAAAAGAAGGAAGCCUGAAAAGUAUUCUAAAUACAUUAAUAAGAAGGGUUCUACAUGAAUUAAUUUUUGUUUUGCCAUCUACAGAGUUCCUGCCACAUUCUAGGCACUUCAUAUUUGCUGCAACAUUUAUUCAGACAUUGACAGAACAAGAGAAAAGAAGUUAAAUUUUAAGUACCAUGGAUUGAAAUUAAACUUAGGGAAGAUAUUUUAUCGUAUGAAUUGUUCAUCUGUAUUUAACAAGGUAUUCAUUUAUUUUGGGUGAUUUAAGGAAGGUCCUUUCUGGAAACAGGAUUACAAACAUACGGACCUAUUUAGUCAAUUUCAACCUUGUGAUUUUGAAUCUGACAGGUUCUCAGCUGCUUUUAUUAAAUAACGGAUUUUCUUAAUAAUUACUGUACUCAAACUUAGCAAAAAGCUCUAUUUAUAGCCCAGUUUUUUAGUCACACACUAUUGUGUCUUGUCAAAUUGAAACCAUAUACUACAUUCUUUACUUAUUAAGAUGGUCUUUUUUUGUAAUAAUUUUGGAGUAGAUAGUUUACUUAUCUAAACCUCUGAUUUCUCAUUUAAUAGAUUUUUGAAGCAUUUAUUUUCCUUACCAUACAUAAAAAUUGUCAGUUGAGGACAAGGAAGGAUUAACCUGGACUACGGUGAAUAAUUGUUCAGGUUGCUUACUGUGUAACUCCAGAGGAGCAUUCACAUGGUACAAUUUGCAGAUUUAAGUAUUUAUUACAACCAUUUUCUGGCAGAUAACAGUGGAACACCCUGUUCUGUUAAAAUUAGUUUAUUAUGACAAAUUGCCUACAGAUGGACAUAAAGUGUCUUGAGGAAGGGCACCUGCUUUGGACUGAAUCGUGUCCCCCCAAAAUCAAAUGUUGAAGCCUAAUCUCUAAUAUGAUGGUAUUUGGAGAUGGGGCCUUUGGGAGAUAACUAGGUUUAGAUGAGGUCAAGAGCGUGGGGCCUUCCUGAUUAGUACCCUGAAAAGAGAAUACACCAGAGAGCUUGCCCUCUCUCCCUCUUACCCCACAGGCACACAAAGAGGUCAUGUGAGUACACAGUCAGAUAACAACCACCUGUGAGAAAACAGAAGAGGCUUCAGAGUGAAAUCUACUUUGCUGGUACUGUAAUCUUGGACAUUAUUCUCAAGAACUGUGAGAUAAUAAAUUUAUCUUAUUU
This 2624-nucleotide long non-coding RNA is filed under the name Pan troglodytes (chimpanzee). RNAcentral's name for it is "lincRNA". The stretch from base 821 to 891 matches the Rfam family "mir-137 microRNA precursor family". The record is from RNAcentral. Lineage: Eukaryota; Metazoa; Chordata; Mammalia; Primates; Hominidae.